UGGGGAAUCUUGCGCAAUGGGCGAAAGCCUGACGCAGCAACGCCGUGUGUGCGAUGAAGGCCCUCGGGUCGUAAAGCACUGUUUACGGGAAAGAUGGGUAGGUGUCUUAAUACGGCACUUAUUUGACGGUACCCGUGUAGGAAGCACCGGCUAACUCUGUGCCAGCAGCCGCGGUAAUACAGAGGGUGCAAGCGUUGUUCGGAAUUAUUGGGCGUAAAGCGCGCGUAGGCGGUUAUUCAAGUCGGAUGUGAAAGCCCGGGGCUCAACCUCGGAAGUGCAUCCGAAACUGGAUGACUUGAAUCCUGGAGGGGGCAGUGGAAUUCCCGGUGUAGAGGUGAAAUUCGUAGAUAUCGGGAGGAACACCAGUGGCGAAGGCGACUGCCUGGACAGUGAUUGACGCUGAGGUGCGAAAGCGUGGGUAGCAAACAGGAUUAGAUACCCCCGUAGUCC
RNAcentral lists this ribosomal RNA (450 nucleotides) under uncultured prokaryote. RNAcentral describes it as "bacterial SSU rRNA". It matches the Rfam family "Bacterial small subunit ribosomal RNA", at positions 355 to 796 of the family's 1533-position model. The record is from RNAcentral.